GUUCUUUUAUCCCAGGACUGCAAUUUCACUCUAACACAGGCAAGAAGCAUCACACUACAACCAAGAAAAGUAAGAAAUGACCGGUUUUAACUGCCCAAAUGACACCAGGUAAUUGAACUCACAUUGGAGCCUCUCACAUUAACUGUGUGAAAACAGCUUUCCAUCUACUUUUAUCAAAAGAGUGAGCCCUGCAUCUCCCCAAGGCUGGGGCAGCGGCACGUCAGCAACACAAGCUCUCUUCCUGGCUCAGAAGCUGCACCUACCACUCAUGCUCUCAUCCUCCAGCUCACAGUAAAAGGCAGACUGUAGAAAAUACCUCUAAUACACAAUUGCAGCUUUUCUUUUUUAAUUAUUUUUUUAUUUUUUUAAAGCAAACCAGCAAAACCUGUGUUUGAGGGAGCAUCGGCAAGCAUACACAGAGCGACUGGCAGUCAGCUUCCCUCGGAGCAAUACGUAGCGAUUGUUUGUUUAUUGUUGUCACGCUAGUUUUGAGGAAUCUUAACCAAGAUGAUGGCCUCAUUUUGCUGUACAAACACGUACAAGAAAGCAAGCUAUAUUGCAAAUACAGUAACCUGACAUGUGAAAAGAAGCCCUGACAACCUGAGUUGACGGGUGGAGAGCGGAAGGCGAAGUGACAAACCCAAGGUCACCCUGAGCCUGUGGAAAAAGGGCUAUAAGCACUGUCUAGACAUGCUGGUCAGACCAGUCUGUGCUUCUGCUGACAAGUUUGGGGGAUAAAAAUUAAUGUACUUAAUCUGAAGAGUAUGAGCUUUCAUCUGUUAAGGAGGAGAACCAGACGCCUUCAGUAGGAAAGAAAAACAUACCUCAAGAUGUUUAAUGGACACACCAGGAGAGAGGAAUUAUAAAAUAUUUCUGACUAUCUCUCUGAUACAUUGAGAAGAAUUUGUAUUCUGCAGCAGAAUACAGGACAGUUUGUGCUACUUUCUUGUAAUAAAACACCAUAAAGAAACAAAUGGUAAUUAUGUGCACUUCCUUUAUAUGCAGCUGAGAGAUACCUUUAAAUACUGUGACAGCUUGCUAAUGUACCACUGUAU
Long non-coding RNA from Cygnus olor (mute swan), 1055 nucleotides. RefSeq lists it as uncharacterized. The record is from RefSeq and is a predicted model, not a curated record. NCBI's taxonomy places the organism in Eukaryota, Metazoa, Chordata, Aves, Anseriformes, Anatidae. The transcript is spliced from 3 exons.